UCUGGUUCAGGACGAACGCUGGCGGUAUGCUUAACACAUGCAAGUCGAACGAGACGAGAUGGAAGGAUCCUUCGGGUGACGGAAAUCUUAGAAAGUGGCGAACGGGUGAGUAACGACGUGGGUAACCUGCCCUAUGGAAAGGAAUAGCCUCGGGAAACUGGGAGUAAUGCCUUAUAAUACAUUGAAGUCGCAUGGCUUUGAUGUUAAACGCUCCGGUGCCAUAGGAUGGACCCGCGUCCCAUUAGCUAGUUGGUGAGAUAACAGCCCACCAAGGCGACGAUGGGUAACCGGUCUGAGAGGGCGAACGGUCACACUGGAACUGAGACACGGUCCAGACUCCUACGGGAGGCAGCAGUGGGGAAUAUUGCGCAAAUGGGGGCAACCCUGACGCAGCAAUACCGCGUGAGUGAAGAAGGUUUUCGGAUCGUAAAGCUCUGUUAUUGGGGAAGAAAAAAGACGGUACCCAAGAAGAAAGCCCCGGCUAACUACGUGCCAGCCGCCGC
RNAcentral lists this ribosomal RNA (503 nucleotides) under uncultured bacterium. RNAcentral describes it as "bacterial SSU rRNA". It matches the Rfam family "Bacterial small subunit ribosomal RNA", at positions 18 to 518 of the family's 1533-position model. The record is from RNAcentral.